RNAcentral lists this ribosomal RNA (3402 nucleotides) under Triticum aestivum (bread wheat). RNAcentral's name for it is "partial small subunit ribosomal RNA". The record is from RNAcentral. Lineage: Eukaryota; Viridiplantae; Streptophyta; Magnoliopsida; Poales; Poaceae.
AUGGAGAGCCCCGUGAAGGAGGAGGUCGGCGGGGAGCUGGCGAUGGAGAUCGAGUCGAGCGUCACGGCCGAGGACUGGCGCCGCGCGCUCUCCCGCGUCGUGCCCGCCGUCGCCGUCCUCCGCACCACCGCGCCGCGCGCCUUCGACACCGAGGUCGCCGGCGCCAGCUACGCCACCGGCUUCGUCGUCGACAAGGCCCGCGGCAUCAUCCUCACCAACCGCCACGUCGUCAAGCCCGGUCCUGUGGUCUCGGAGGCGAUGUUCGUGAACCGGGAGGAGAUCCCUGUGUACCCCCUGUACAGAGACCCUGUACAUGAUUUUGGUUUUUUUCGCUAUGAUCCAGGUGCCAUAAAGUUCCUCAAGUAUGAGGAGAUCCCUCUAGACCCUGAAGCAGCAUCUGUUGGGCUAGAAAUCCGAGUUGUCGGCAAUGACAGCGGCGAAAAGGUUUCAAUUUUGGCGGGAACACUUGCUCGACUUGAUAGAGAAGCGCCUCACUACAAGAAGGACGGGUACAAUGAUUUCAACACAUUCUAUAUGCAGGCCGCAUCUGGAACUAAAGGUGGCUCUAGUGGUUCCCCAGUUGUUGAUUGCCAAGGAAGAGCUGUUGCGCUGAAUGCUGGAAGCAAAUCUUCCAGUGCUUCUGCUUUUUUCCUUCCAUUAGAACGUGUGGUUAGGGCACUGAAUUUGAUACGUGAUUGUUGGGAUGCAUUUGGUAUCAAGUCAGAAUCUGUUUAUAUUCCUCGUGGUACACUGCAGAUGACCUUUCAACACAAAGGAUUCGAAGAAACUCGACGUCUUGGACUGAGGAAUGAAACAGAGCAGAUGGUACGCCUUGUUUCUCCAGCAGGCGAAACUGGAAUGCUGGUUGUUGACUCUGUGGUGCCAGAAGGACCUGCACAUAAACAUUUGGAACCUGGUGAUGUGCUAGUUCACAUCAAUGGGGAGAUUUGUCUCAAAAGGUAUAUUCAUAAGAGAGGUCGGGUAGACCAAACUUGGGAGGAGUCCGUUAAGAGAGAUCUAAAGGACUGGAAUAUCACCAAAGAACUAGCCAUGGACAGGGGUGUGUGGAAGGUUGUAACCCAGUUUCUCGCAAUGGAGACUUUACUUGAUGACAGCGUUGGCAAGGAGGUAAAUUUGCAGAUUGAAAGAGGUGGAGUGCCUUUGACAGUAAAGUUAGAGGUUGAAGAUUUGCACUCUAUAACUCCAAAUCAUUUCUUGGAAGUCAGUGGUGCUGUCAUCCAUCCACUUUCAUACCAGCAGGCUAGAAACUUCCGGUUCAAAUGUGGUCUUGUAUAUGUUGCUGAAGCAGGGUACAUGCUCUCUCGGGCAUCGGUUCCACGCCAUUCAAUUAUCAAAAAGUUUGCGGGAGAGGAUAUUGAAAAUUUAGAUGACCUUAUUGCAGUUAUUUCAAAGCUGUCUAGGGGAGCACGAGUGCCUCUUGAAUAUGUAAAGUACACUGACCGUUAUCGGAACAAGUCUGUACUGGUGACAAUUGAUCAACAUGGUUGGUAUGCGCCUCCUCAGUUAUACACUCGAAAUGACGCAACUGGUCUUUGGAAUGCAAAAUUGGCUAUACCACUCGAAUCUCCCUUUGUAGUUUCCCAUCGUGCUGGCCAUAUGGAUGCAAACUCAAAUUCUGUUUCACCGUUGACUGAAUCAAGUCCUAUGGAUCUCAAAUGCCAGCACGAGUCUGAAAAUACGGCAGAUGGAUGCGUAAAAAUGCAAACAGAUGAGGAGAUUGCCAUAGAUGGAUCCCACUCUGGCGAAGAUUCCAUCCUUGAGAAAAAAAGGCGCCGGGUGGAUGAGGAGAUAGCUGCUGAGGGAACUAUAUCAUCUUUUGGAGAUUUAGAUGACAUGAAAGAUGGCGCAUUGAGGCAUCCUUCCAGUGUGGAAGGCUCCGACCUUGCUCGGACAAUAUCAAGUAAUGCUUCAUUGGCAGAACAAGUAAUUGAGCCAGCUCUUGUAAUGUUUGAGGUGCAUGUGCCACCAAUAUGCAUGCUUGAUGGAGUGCAUUCUCAACAUUUCUUUGGAACCGGUGUGAUAAUAUAUCAUUCUGACUGUCUAGGUCUGGUUGCCGUCGAUAGGAAUACAGUUGCUGUAUCUAUCUCUGAUAUAAUGCUCUCUUUUGCUGCAUAUCCCAUUGAAAUACCUGCAGAGGUUGUUUUUCUGCAUCCUGUUCAUAAUUUUGCACUGGUUGCCUAUGAUCCUUCUGCACUGGGAGCUGGAGCAUCUGUUAUUCGGGCUGCUAAGCUUCUUCCUGAGCCUGCCUUGCGCCGAGGAGAUUCUGUCUACCUAGUUGGGCUAAGUAGAAGCUUACAAGCUACAUCAAGGAAAUCAACCAUAACCAAUCCUUGCACAGCUGUUAAUAUUGGCUCAGCUGACUGCCCACGAUAUCGUGCAAUAAAUAUGGAGGUCAUUGAGCUUGAUACUGAUUUCGGCAGCUCAUUUUCGGGUAUAUUGACGGAUGAGCAAGGAAGAGUUCAAGCGUUAUGGGCAAGCUUUUCCACCCAGCUCAAAUAUGGUUGUAGCAGUUCAGAGGACCAUCAAUUCGUUAGAGGUAUACCAAUAUAUGCAAUAAGUCAAGUCCUUGAGAAGAUAAUCUCGGGUACUCCUGGACCAUUUCGUCUUAUCAAUGGAAUUCGAAGGCCGAUGCCACUUGUCAGACUUCUGGAGGUGGAACUUUAUCCAACUUUGCUUUCGAAAGCAAGAAGUUAUGGAUUGAGCGAUAACUGGGUGCAGGCUCUCGCUAAGAAGGACCCUGUGCGCAGACAAGUCUUGCGGGUCAAAGGUUGUUUGGCUGGAUCAAAAGCGGAAAAGCUUCUGGAACAAGGAGACAUGAUUCUAGCUAUCAACAAGGAACCAAUAACAUGCUUUCUUGACAUUGAGAAUGCUUGCCAAAAGUUGGACCAAUCUAUCGAUUCAGAUGGCCUGCUUAACAUGACAAUAUUUCGUCAGGGAAAAGAAAUUGACCUUAUUGUUGGAACCGAUGUAAGAGAUGGUAAUGGUUCAACAAGGAUGGUGAAUUGGUGUGGAUCCAUAAUUCAGGAUCCUCAUUCAGCAGUGCGUGCACUUGGCUUUUUGCCCGAGGAAGGUCAUGGAGUUUAUGUUGCUAGAUGGUGCCAUGGAAGUCCCGUACAUAGAUAUGGCCUUUAUGCUCUCCAGUGGAUAGUUGAAGUUAACGGGCAACCAACUCCAGAUUUGGAGUCCUUUAUUCAAGUGGUGAAGGGAUUGGAAGAUCGUGAGUUCGUCAGGGUGAAGACCGUCCAUUUGAACGGAAAACCACGCGUGCUCACUCUGAAACAGGACCUCCACUACUGGCCAACCUGGGAGCUCACUUUUGAACCGGAGACUGACACAUGGAAGAGGAGAACAAUAAAGGCGUUGCAGCCAACCGGGGCUUGA